GGGGGAUAGCAACAGGGGCGUUUUCCUUUAAAAAAACAAAAAAAAGGUCCUAUCGUCCAGGUCUCUCUACACCUUCUCCUCCUUCUGUCCUCCACCUCCUCCACUCCAGGAGUUUCAAGUCGAAACACACGUUCAGAGUGAACGGUUACCCCACCGGUCUGUAAGGCGUGGGGGUAUAAAUGGCCGACCCUUCUCUCUGAUCCAGCACAGUCAACCUUCCGACAUUGUUUAGAAUCGGUCAGUCAACUCACUUGCUUUUGUCUCACGUCAAAUUUCUUUGAUCAACAACGGAAGCUAUUUACUUCGAUCAUCUCUAAAUUAUGAUUUAUUAGUACAAAGCAUUCGUGUUAAUGAAGAACUUCCCUCUCUCAAGCUACGACUUGCUGCUGCUACUUAACGCCAAUUUAAAUAAAAACCUACAAUCCCUCCUAGGCAGCCGUCUGGGAAACUCAGGCAAUCAGAAAGAAUUAAGGGUUUUGACGCUGCUUCACUACGUUCCUUGAGGUGAG
This is a long non-coding RNA of Daphnia magna, 509 nucleotides long. RefSeq lists it as uncharacterized. The transcript is spliced from 4 exons. Lineage: Eukaryota; Metazoa; Arthropoda; Branchiopoda; Diplostraca; Daphniidae. The record is from RefSeq and is a predicted model, not a curated record.